UCAAACUUGGUCAUUUAGAGGAAGUAAAAGUCGUAACAAGGUCUCCGUUGGUGAACCAGCGGAGGGAUCAUUACUGAGUUUACAACUCCCAAACCCACUGUGAACAUACCUAUCGUUGCUUCGGCGGGAACGCCCCGGCGCGCCCUCAGGGGCUUGCCCGGAACCAGGCGCCCGCCGGAGAACCCAAACUCUUGAUUUCCCGCACAGCGGCAGUAAUUUUCUGAGUACAAACGCAAAAUAAAUUAAAACUUUCAACAACGGAUCUCUUGGCUCUGGCAUCGAUGAAGAACGCAGC
This 295-nucleotide unclassified non-coding RNA is filed under the name uncultured fungus. RNAcentral describes it as "partial contains small subunit ribosomal RNA, internal transcribed spacer 1, and 5.8S ribosomal RNA". The stretch from base 1 to 73 matches the Rfam family "Eukaryotic small subunit ribosomal RNA", at positions 1759 to 1831 of the family's 1831-position model. The record is from RNAcentral. Lineage: Eukaryota; Fungi.